RNAcentral lists this transfer RNA (69 nucleotides) under Neotoma lepida (desert woodrat). It matches the Rfam family "tRNA". From Rfam's summary of the family: Transfer RNA (tRNA) molecules are approximately 80 nucleotides in length. Lineage: Eukaryota; Metazoa; Chordata; Mammalia; Rodentia; Cricetidae. The record is from Rfam by way of RNAcentral.
GGGGAUUUAGCUCAAUGGUAGAGCACUUGCCUAGCAAGCGAAAGGCCCUGGGUUCGGUCCUCAGCUCUG